RNAcentral lists this ribosomal RNA (715 nucleotides) under uncultured Pantoea sp. Its description in RNAcentral is "bacterial SSU rRNA". It matches the Rfam family "Bacterial small subunit ribosomal RNA", at positions 799 to 1515 of the family's 1533-position model. The record is from RNAcentral. Lineage: Bacteria; Pseudomonadati; Pseudomonadota; Gammaproteobacteria; Enterobacterales; Erwiniaceae.
CACGUAAACGAUGUCGACUUGGAGGUUGUGCCCUGAGGCGUGGCUUCCGGAGCUAACGCGUUAAGUCGACCGCCUGGGGAGUACGGCCGCAAGGUUAAAACUCAAAUGAAUUGACGGGGGCCCGCACAAGCGGUGGAGCAUGUGGUUUAAUUCGAUGCAACGCGAAGAACCUUACCUGGCCUUGACAUCCAGAGAACUUAGCAGAGAUGCUUUGGUGCCUUCGGGAACUCUGAGACAGGUGCUGCAUGGCUGUCGUCAGCUCGUGUUGUGAAAUGUUGGGUUAAGUCCCGCAACGAGCGCAACCCUUAUCCUUUGUUGCCAGCGGUUCGGCCGGGAACUCAAAGGAGACUGCCGGUGAUAAACCGGAGGAAGGUGGGGAUGACGUCAAGUCAUCAUGGCCCUUACGGCCAGGGCUACACACGUGCUACAAUGGCGCAUACAAAGAGAAGCGACCUCGCGAGAGCAAGCGGACCUCAUAAAGUGCGUCGUAGUCCGGAUUGGAGUCUGCAACUCGACUCCAUGAAGUCGGAAUCGCUAGUAAUCGUAGAUCAGAAUGCUACGGUGAAUACGUUCCCGGGCCUUGUACACACCGCCCGUCACACCAUGGGAGUGGGUUGCAAAAGAAGUAGGUAGCUUAACCUCCGGGAGGGCGCUUACCACUUUGUGAUUCAUGACUGGGGUGAAGUCGUAACAAGGUAACCAAGGGCGAAUUCUG